This 276-nucleotide long non-coding RNA is filed under the name Apteryx rowi (Okarito brown kiwi). RNAcentral's name for it is "lncRNA (ENSARWG00000009179.1)". The record is from RNAcentral. Lineage: Eukaryota; Metazoa; Chordata; Aves; Apterygiformes; Apterygidae.
AUUCUUUCCACCCUGGAUGAAGAGAAGCCACUGUGGAUAUUAAUCAGUAGUAUUUGCUCCCUGGUCUGUUAUCUGAGUCUUUUGGGGUGCUCAGUGAUUACAGCAGGCCAGCUCUAGAUCCAGAUCUCCUCCCCACCUACAGGUCAUUGGAUAUGUAUUGCUUAGAAAGGCUCUUGACAAGGCAGACAGGACAUCCAGAUAAUGAUCACCUUGAAGAACGUUUUGACUGAUGCUUUUGGUGAACUUUUGCCUUGACAAAUUUAGAAAGAGAAGACA